GGAACAUUAAAAAAGUCAUCUUAAGCAAGGUGUCCAGGAGGAAAGAAGUGACAUGGGAGAAUAGUCUGUUCAUCCACUCCUAGAACAGAUAGCUAAACCUGUGUGACUCCCAUUUAACGUCACAGAUCUUCAUCUCGGUCUGGAGACAACACCAGAGGAAUGAUGACCUGGUUACGGAACAGCGGUGUUUUUUCAUGCUUCAAGACCUUGUUCAGAGUGUUCAGCUGUCCAGAAAGCAAGGCAAAGCUGUCCAGGACAGAUGGCCUGGUGGUGGUAACAAGGUACACCCUACACUCCCUCACUGAGACAUUUUCGACAGACCUAAUGCCAGGAGAUCAUUCUCUCAUGUGCACCUCUGUAGCACAUGCACUCCAGCUUCCUCCAUCCUAGCAUCUGUGAGCCUGGCUGUCUUGUCAGUCUCUGGGAAAUCUGCCUACUCAUGAAGACUUCUCUGAACACCAGUCCUGCUCUCCCCUUUCCCUCCCCCAACCAACGACUCCAGCUUUCCAUCUGCUCUCAUCAUUUUGUUUCAACCUUCUCCUUGCUGAAUUAAUAUGCAAUCAUCUAUCUCUGUGUCAAUAUUCCCGUGCCUCUUUCACAAGCUCAGUCAACCCAUUAACAUUUAUUGAGACUACCAGCUGCAAGAAACUAAGUGACAAAUGAAAAACAAAAACCACACAUGCUUCUAAGCACUGGACAAACAAAUUAAAAUGCUGGGGGUCUGCAAAGCA
This is a long non-coding RNA of Homo sapiens (human), 731 nucleotides long. Ensembl annotates it as MED8 antisense RNA 1. Its record names the gene MED8-AS1. NCBI's taxonomy places the organism in Eukaryota, Metazoa, Chordata, Mammalia, Primates, Hominidae. The record is from Ensembl.